AAAGGUUGCGGCACGUUUUCGACAAGGACCAGAGGUAUUGUCAGAAAAGAAACAGAGAAUCGGACAAGGAAAAUGAAGAGACGAGUUAAAUUUCGUAGAAUUCAAUCGGCUUUGUAACAGUUAUCAGUGACAGCCCAAGUAAAAUAGGGACCAUUUACAAUGUCUCCUAAAUACGCAUA
Long non-coding RNA from Camponotus floridanus (Florida carpenter ant), 179 nucleotides. RefSeq lists it as uncharacterized. Lineage: Eukaryota; Metazoa; Arthropoda; Insecta; Hymenoptera; Formicidae. The transcript has 2 exons. The record is from RefSeq and is a predicted model, not a curated record.